This 504-nucleotide ribosomal RNA is filed under the name uncultured bacterium. RNAcentral's name for it is "partial 16S ribosomal RNA". It matches the Rfam family "Bacterial small subunit ribosomal RNA", at positions 29 to 523 of the family's 1533-position model. The record is from RNAcentral.
AUUGAACGCUGGCGGCAGGCCUAACACAUGCAAGUCGAACGGUAGCACAGAGAGCUUGCUCUCGGGUGACGAGUGGCGGACGGGUGAGUAAUGUCUGGGAAACUGCCCGAUAGAGGGGGAUAACCACUGGAAACGGUGGCUAAUACCGCAUAACGUCGCAAGACCAAAGAGGGGGACCUUCGGGCCUCUCACUAUCGGAUGGACCCAGAUGGGAUUAGCUAGUAGGCGGGGUAAUGGCCCACCUAGGCGACGAUCCCUAGCUGGUCUGAGAGGAUGACCAGCCACACUGGAACUGAGACACGGUCCAGACUCCUACGGGAGGCAGCAGUGGGGAAUAUUGCACAAUGGGCGCAAGCCUGAUGCAGCCAUGCCGCGUGUAUGAAGAAGGCCUUCGGGUUGUAAAGUACUUUCAGCGGGGAGGAAGGCGGUGAGGUUAAUAACCUCGCCGAUUGACGUUACCCGCAGAAGAAGCACCGGCUAACUCCGUGCCAGCAGCCGCGGUAA